UGGGGUGCUGAAUAUUUAGUUCACAGC
Molecule: non-coding RNA, 27 nt
Filed under: Homo sapiens (human)
Lineage: Eukaryota; Metazoa; Chordata; Mammalia; Primates; Hominidae
Source: RNAcentral